RNAcentral lists this long non-coding RNA (271 nucleotides) under Elaeis guineensis (African oil palm). RNAcentral describes it as "long non-coding RNA (EGUI_LNC056859)". The record is from RNAcentral. Lineage: Eukaryota; Viridiplantae; Streptophyta; Magnoliopsida; Arecales; Arecaceae.
UAGGCCUGGACUCCCUGGCAGGCCACAGUAAUGGCCACAACUCUGCUCCACUUCCUGCGACGGAUUUCAUGCGGCUCCAUCACUCCCUAGCAGGCCAUAGUAAUGGCCACAACUCUACUCCACUUCCUGCGACAGAUUCCACACGGCUCCAUCACUCCCUGGUAGGCCAUAGUAAUGGCCAUGACUCUGCUCCACUCUCCGCAACAGGCUCCACGUGGCAGGCCACGGUGAUGGCCACGAUUCCACUCCACUACUCUUCCUAACAAACUCC